UCAGGAUGAACGCUAGCGGCAGGCUUAACACAUGCAAGUCGAGGGGCAUCGGGAGUAGCAAUACUUGCCGGCGACCGGCGCAAGGGUGCGUAACGCGUGAGCAACAUGCCCGUAUCAGGGGGAUAAUCCAUGGAAACGUGGUCUAAUACCCCAUAGUAAUUAUGUAAGGCAUCUUAUAUAAUUUAAAGCUUUGGUGGAUACGGAUUGGCUCGCGUGACAUUAGCUGGAUGGUAAGGUAACGGCUUACCAUGGCUACGAUGUCUAGGGGUUCUGAGAGGAAGGUCCCCCACACUGGAACUGAGACACGGUCCAGACUCCUACGGGAGGCAGCAGUGAGGAAUAUUGGACAAUGGAUGGAAAUCUGAUCCAGCCAUGCCGCGUGCAAGGAAGACGGCCCUAUGGGUUGUAAACUGCUUUUGUAUGGGAGCAAUAAGGGCUACGUGUAGUCCGAUGAGAGUACCAUACGAAUAAGCACCGGCUAACUCCGUGCCAGCCGCUGC
This 500-nucleotide ribosomal RNA is filed under the name uncultured bacterium. RNAcentral describes it as "bacterial SSU rRNA". It matches the Rfam family "Bacterial small subunit ribosomal RNA", at positions 24 to 518 of the family's 1533-position model. The record is from RNAcentral.